AGGAUAUAUUCGGAACAUCUUCUUCAGAAGAUGCGGAAUAACGUGACAUAUUGUAUUCAGUUUUGAAUGUUUAUUUAACAUUCAAAUAUUUUUUGGUUAAAGCGAUAUUGCUUAUGNNNNNNNNNUCAAAGGAAUUGACGGGGACCCGCACAAGCGGUGGAGCAUGUGGUUUAAUUCGAAGCAACGCGAAGAACCUUACCAAAUCUUGACAUCCUUUGACAACUCUAGAGAUAGAGCCUUCCCCUUCGGGGGACAAAGUGACAGGUGGUGCAUGGUUGUCGUCAGCUCGUGUCGUGAGAUGUUGGGUUAAGUCCCGCAACGAGCGCAACCCUUAAGCUUAGUUGCCAUCAUUAAGUUGGGCACUCUAAGUUGACUGCCGGUGACAAACCGGAGGAAGGUGGGGAUGACGUCAAAUCAUCAUGCCCCUUAUGAUUUGGGCUACACACGUGCUACAAUGGACAAUACAAAGGGCAGCGAAACCGCGAGGUCAAGCAAAUCCCAUAAAGUUGUUCUCAGUUCGGAUUGUAGUCUGCAACUCGACUACAUGAAGCUGGAAUCGCUAGUAAUCGUAGAUCAGCAUGCUACGGUGAAUACGUUCCCGGGUCUUGUACACACCGCCCGUCACACCACGAGAGUUUGUAACACCCGAAGCCGGUGGAGUAACCUUUUAGGAGCUAGCCGUCGAAGGUGGGACAAAUGAUUGGGGUGAAGUCGUAACAAGGUAGCCGUAUCGGAAGGUGCGGCUG
This 746-nucleotide ribosomal RNA is filed under the name Staphylococcus aureus. RNAcentral describes it as "bacterial SSU rRNA". The stretch from base 94 to 746 matches the Rfam family "Bacterial small subunit ribosomal RNA", at positions 874 to 1520 of the family's 1533-position model. The record is from RNAcentral. Lineage: Bacteria; Bacillati; Bacillota; Bacilli; Caryophanales; Staphylococcaceae.